RNAcentral lists this ribosomal RNA (119 nucleotides) under Pteropus alecto (black flying fox). Lineage: Eukaryota; Metazoa; Chordata; Mammalia; Chiroptera; Pteropodidae. The record is from RNAcentral.
AACUACGGUCAUGCCACAAUGAACAAGCCCAAUCCCGUCUGGUCUCGGAAGCUAAGCAGGAUUGGGCCUGGUUAGUACUUGGAUGGGAGACCCUCUAGGAAGACCAGGUGCUGUAGGCA